UUCCGGUUGAUCCUGCCGGAGGUUACUGCUAUCGGGGUUCGACUAAGCCAUGCGAGUCGAAUGUAGCAAUACAUGGCGUACUGCUCAGUAACACGUGGACAACCUACCCUUAGGUCGGGGAUAAACCCGGGAAACUGGGUAUAAUACCCGAUAGUCCUCGGAUGCUGGAAUGCACCGAGGUCUAAAGCUCCGGCGCCUAAGGGUGGGUCUGCGGCCUAUCAGGUAGUAGUGGGUGUAGCGUACCUACUAGCCUACGACGGGUACGGGUUGUGAGAGCAAGAGCCCGGAGAUGGAUUCUGAGACACGAAUCCAGGCCCUACGGGGUGCAGCAGGCGCGAAAACUUUACAAUGCUGGAAACAGCGAUAAGGGGACCUCGAGUGCCAGGUUACAAAUCUGGCUGUCGUGAUGCCUAAAAAGCAUUGCAUAGCAAGGGCCGGGCAAGACCGGUGCCAGCCGCCGCGGUAACACCGGCGGCUCGAGUGGUAACCGCUAUUAUUGGGUCUAAAGGGUCUGUAGCCGGCCGGAUAAGUCUUUUGGGAAAUCUGGCAGCUUAACUGUCAGGCUUUCAGAGGAUACUGUCUGGCUCGAGGCCGGGAGAGGUGAGAGGUACUUCAGGGGUAGGGGUGAAAUCUUGUAAUCCUUGGAGGACCACCAGUGGCGAAGGCGUCUCACCAGAACGGACCUGACGGCGAGGGACAAUCACUAG
Molecule: ribosomal RNA, 707 nt
Filed under: uncultured Methanosaeta sp.
Lineage: Archaea; Methanobacteriati; Methanobacteriota; Methanomicrobia; Methanotrichales; Methanotrichaceae
Description: bacterial SSU rRNA
Rfam family: Archaeal small subunit ribosomal RNA
Source: RNAcentral